GAUGAACGCUGGCGGCGUGCCUAACACAUGCAAGUCGAGCGAACACACCAUGAGCUUGUUCCUCUGACUUUAGCUGCGGACGGGCGCGUAACACGUACAUAACCUCCCUCUACGACUCGGAUAACUUCGACAUACCGGAGCUAAUACUAGUUCAUAUUGUGAUCCGUAUAGUUCAUUAGAGAAAGACGAUUUUGCUGUCAGUUAUAGAUGGAUCCGCGUCGCAUUAGCUAGUUGGUAAGGUAACGGCACACCAAGGCAACGAUGCGUAGCCGACCUGAGAGGGUGAUAAGCCACACUGGAACUGAGACACGGUCCAGACUACUACGGGAGGCAGCAGUGGGGAGUGUUACGCAAUGGGCGGAAGCAGGACCGAGCAACGCCGCGUGGGGGAUGAAGAUACUGGGAUAGUAAAUCUCUGCUAUUAGUGAAGAACAAAAGUGUAAGUAUCUAUGCACGUCUUGACGGUACCUAAUGAAUAAGGAACGGCUAACUACGUG
Molecule: ribosomal RNA, 497 nt
Filed under: uncultured bacterium
Lineage: Bacteria
Description: partial 16S ribosomal RNA
Rfam family: Bacterial small subunit ribosomal RNA
Source: RNAcentral